UCAGUCGACUCCUACGGGGAGGCAGCAGUGGGGGAAUAUUGCACAAUGGGCGCAAGCCUGAUGCAGCCAUGCCGCGUGUAUGAAGAAGGCCUUCGGGGUUGUAAAGGUACUUUCAGCAGUGAGGAAGGCGGAGUCGUUAAUAGCGGCCUCGUUUGACGUUAGCUGCAGAAGAAGCACCGGCUAACUCCGUGCCAGCAGCCGCGGUAAUACGGAGGGUGCGAGCGUUAAUCGGAAUUACUGGGCGUAAAGCGCAUGCAGGUGGUUUGUUAAGUCAGAUGUGAAAGCCCGGGGCUCAACCUCGGAAUUGCAUUUGAAACUGGCAGACUAGAGUACUGUAGAGGGGGGUAGGAAUUUCAGGUGUAGCGGUGAAAUGCGUAGAGAUCUGAAGGAAUACCGGUGGCGAAGGCGGCCCCCUGGACAGAUACUGACACUCAGAUGCGAAAGCGUGGGGAGCAAACAGGAUUAGAUACCCUGGUAG
This 478-nucleotide ribosomal RNA is filed under the name uncultured bacterium. Its description in RNAcentral is "bacterial SSU rRNA". It matches the Rfam family "Bacterial small subunit ribosomal RNA", at positions 328 to 793 of the family's 1533-position model. The record is from RNAcentral.